GUCAGUCAUUGAUUAAUCCAUCAAAGAGAGAUACCCAGAUAGCCCAUUUAAUCAUGAAAAAUCACAAGGAAGGUUAAUUAACCAAGAAGUUGAUACGAUGGCAAUAGAUAGUAUUCCAUUCAACCGUAACUGUAUAGCUGCCAGGGUUGCUUUAGCGGUUUAUCUGUCUGGUUUUCUCUGCUUUCUGAUUGGAAUGGCCACACCGAACUGGCUUCAUGUCGAUCAAGGAAUGCAAGGCGGGCUAUGGAGUGCCUGCUAUUAUGUCCAAGAAGUUGGUUGGACCUGUAAUCAGUAUAAAUCACAGCCAGAAUUUAUUCCCGCAGUACAAGCUUUGGCAAUAAUAACAUUACUGUUUUACAUUGUGGAGUUUGUCGUCAUGGUAACAGUAAUUGUAUUGCUUUUGAGGAGUGUUGGCUUUGGAGACUAUUGGAAUCCUAAGAACAUAUCACUGGUUUCUUCCCUUGUUACGUUUUCUGCAGGUUGUUUUACUCUGAUGACUUUGAUUGUAGUAGCAGUUAAAGGUAAAGACUACGUUGCCGACUUGCAAAAGGAUCACUAUGGCAUCUUAACAUAUCAACAGUUAGGCAUUGAUUUAACCGGAAGUUACUCUAUUGGAUGGUCGUUUGGUGUUACAAUUUUGUCAGCGAUUAUUACAUUUAUAUCGUUCUCGUUGUUUAUAUUUGAAUAUAAACUCCUUCAAUCUCAAAUAGCUCUGCCUACCGAAGGUUCAUGAAUGAUCUAAACAUACCAACUAUUCCCGAAUAAGGUUUUACCCUUUAGUGAAUUAUUUGUUGUUGUAGCUCCCAGGUGUCUAUAUUGUAGAAGAGAUCAUUGUUCAGACUUGUGGCGGCGGACUAGGUAGAAUAACCAAUCAGAUCAACGACAAAUUUCUUAAAACACAUAUCAACAAUAUUUUAUAUACUCAGGAGAAAGAACAGAGCAAAGAGAAUAUGUAUCGUCUACAGCGUACCUAAAAAUUACUUGAGCGGGUUUUCAUAUUAUUUAAUUGAUAAAAUACACAGUAUAUAUAUAUAUGAGUUACAUUUGAGUUACCAUUGAAGAGUUUGCAAAGACAUUAAAACGUAAUUGACUUCAAUACAAGCCUUUUAAUGAAUAUAAUGUUUUACUUUAAGAAAGUGCAAUAGAUACGUAAAUAUUCUAUUAGCAGUAUAAAUAGUUUGUUACACAUUUAUUGACAAAAAGAUUUUCGCAGAUGACUUUAUUCAAGAUGCGUUCGCGUAUUCCAUAACCGUAUGUUUUCGAGUAGCAACAUUGAAGUUAACAAGGAGUAUACGUAUUUGAUUUUUAUAACAAAUGAUUGAAUUUCCAUAGGUGUUUGUUAACAUUCUUUAUAUGGUAAUACACAUUUGUAUCUUU
Molecule: long non-coding RNA, 1377 nt
Organism: Mytilus californianus (California mussel)
Lineage: Eukaryota; Metazoa; Mollusca; Bivalvia; Mytilida; Mytilidae
Exons: 5
Source: RefSeq, a predicted model, not a curated record